CGGGGGAGGACACAGCACAUUUGGUAACAGAUCAGAGAUAACAUGGUGCGGAGGGUCGAUUAAGCAGAUUAAAGAGCACUGCUCCUGGAAAGACAGACCAUCAAACUCAUUUUUUCUUAUAGCGAUUGUUGGUGCGGGGCUAUGACCAGACCCAUAACAGAGAGGAGAAUCGGGCCAUAAUCCAGUCUCUCGGUUCAGAAUUAUACCAAAAACUCUCCAUCUGGCACAAAAAAGAAGCAAUACAGAAGAAAUGGUGCGAUUUCAAAAGAUUCCAAUACAAUCGGGUCAUGGAGAUGAGUAAACGAUU
Molecule: long non-coding RNA, 307 nt
Organism: Bufo bufo (common toad)
Lineage: Eukaryota; Metazoa; Chordata; Amphibia; Anura; Bufonidae
Exons: 3
Source: RefSeq, a predicted model, not a curated record